UCAUGUCGCGUGAUGCCAAUGACGUGUAAUAGUACAAAAGAAAUUUUCUAUUAUCAUUCUAUCGGAUAAAUUUAGCCGAAUCUGAAGACUGAGACGUGACCAGUCAUGGUAUUCAAUGAAGUGCCAUUCCCUAAUAGAUUUUGUCCAGUGUGAUAUAUGCUUAAGCUAUACGGUGUGGUAUUUGUAUUGCAACGAACAAGGAAAAAUUUUAAUCGCUAAAAUGAACUUUUGCGGAAAAGAGAAGAAAAAGAUUAGAAAAAUAUUACGUGACUGCGACCUCACUGAUGACGAUCAAAAUCUUGUUUCGGAAGAAUCCGAUGUUGAAGCGGACUCUUUUAGCGCCGAUAGUGAGGCAACUCAACGCCGGAAGAAGAAACGUUUGAUAGUGUCAUCUGAGGAGACACUAGAAAAUAUCGAUGAUCCUGCCGAUGACGAUGGUGCAAGUUGUUCACCAACAACGAAAGAUAAUGAGAGGAUUAUCGACGAUGACGAUAUGUGGUAUGAUAAUAAAAAGAAAUUGAUUGAAUUUGCAUUUAACGAUGGUAAAUGCGGCAUUAAAAUGAAUGCUGAUAAGUAUUCUAGUGCGAAAAACAUUUUUGAUCAGCUGUUCUCAAGAAAUGUAGUUGAGACACUCGUUAGUUGCACAAAUGAAUAUGGAAAGUAUUUAUUUGAAACCAAGCAUUCUAGUAAUUUUGUUUUACGAUUGAUGCAACCAUGUUUGGGUAAAGGACAUCAUCUCUUUAUGGACAAUUUUUACAACAGUAUCGAGCUGUCAAGAGCUGCUAACAUAUAAAACACACACGACCGGAACGCAUUAUUCUAACAGAAAAGGUAAUCCGAAAGAAGUGAGAUCAAAAAAGUUAAAAAAGGGCAAACAUCGAAAUGGCGGGAUAAACGGAAUCUUUUUUUUUAUAACAACAAAUCAUCAUCCCGAAAUGGUGGAAGUUACCAACAAAUUUGGACAAAAAAGAAUAAAUCAAAUGAUAUAGCUGAAUAUAAUUUGAAUGUCAGGAGUUGACAGAUGUGAUUUCGAUCUUAUCGAAAAUCGAUAAGAUGGUAUAAAAAACUUAUUUUUCAUCUUUUAGACCUUUGCAUUUGGAAUUCCUACUUCAUCUAUCAACAGUUUCAUAAAUCAACGACAUUCCUACAAUUUAGAGAUUUGCUGAUGCAAUCAUUGAUCACAUUCCCUAAUACUGAGAUUUCUGGAAAGAAUUUAGCGGCAUUAACAUCUAGGCGUGCUCGACCGAAACAAAUAAAUUCAUUAUCAUUGACAUCCACAGGUUCUACACAACAACAUUUCUUGGAAAAGAUCCCCCAAUCUAUUAAUUUUCAGCAUAAAACUUAUUUUCUACAUUGCAGACAAUGUUUGGCUAACAAAAUUAGAAAAGAGACUUCAUAUAGAUGUAAAACUUGUCCGCAAAACCCACCAUUGUGUCCAAAAUGCUUCGAAUUCUUUCAUUUACAGUAAAGCUGAUUCCUUUAUAAUGCUUUUUCUUAAACCAUUUUUGAAUUAGUAAAGCAAAUUUAAUAUAGUCGUCACGACGGUCAUAGCCGCCAUUUGCUUUGGGAAGAGAAAAACAUGUCGUAAUAAGCAAAUGACAGUUACAGCCGGCGAGAGUUUUCAAGGAAAAACUGUGAUAAAAUGUGAUAAUUUUCGCUUCCAAACAUACGAAUGACGCUCAAUUUUAUAUGGCAGUCAUGAACAAUUGAAAAAAAAAAGUGUUUCUGAGUACGAUUGUCAAAUUAAAAGUGUGCGGCAACGUGUUAAUUAUUAAUGAUCGACAUUCAUAAGCCAAGUUCUGUGUGUGUUCUUAAAAAAGUUAUUUAAAAUAAUGAUUCGAAGAAUUUCUCUAAUAUAUUUCUGUCGAGAUCAUUAGAUAAAAGUAGUUUUUUCAUUGUUAAAAACAAUAAAAAGUUUUAAAUUGGAAUAAUUAAAUCCUUAUUUGCUCAAAAACUUCAUGUUGAGGAAUGUUUUUUGUAUAAAAAGUUACCAAAGUCUUCCAUCUACAUAUUCCGACAUUAACUACGUUAGUGCACCUCGAACGACGUGCUCAGAACGAACGUGGGAUGAGAACUGGUGCAACAACGUGGUGACCGUCAACUGGCUUUAAAUUGUAAUGCUAUUUUAUUGUAUAGAAAAUAUUAUAAGAAAUAAUAUUUAGGAUAUAAAAAAUAUCGAUUAAUUCUUUGUUUAGGUUCGAAAUUUAAUGUGAAAUAAUAAUAUAUAUAGUCAGAUCAUUAAUAAUCUGAUUUUAAUGAAUUUGUAGCGUCGUAGCAUAUUAACUUGCUUCUUUAACUUUUUUAUGUGUCAUCUUGCAUAUCAAGGUACGACCAAUCCUUGAAAGUCUGAUUAAGCCAUUUUUUCUAUCAUUACGAUCCAUUCGCCUUUAUUAAGCGCGAAUUACUGCAAGCUUUCUUUAAUUCCAAUAGCUAGGUUAAGAAGCGUGUACAAAAAGGAGAGAGACAGAGGCGCGCCUCUGUUUACUGCUAUUGUUUACUGUUCUUCUUUGUGGUUAUGUAAUAAGAAAGUCCGUUAAGCAAAAUUCGGAAGCUGGAGGGAAUUUGUAACGCAUGAUAAUUCGAAGCACUAGAGCUAUCGUAUAUAAGCAUCAGUCCAACAAACUUCGAGUUGAAAAGGUUAUCAGUAUCCUCAGGCGGAACGGUAUUAGUUUGACGAGUAUGAAAGAAACUGCCAGCGUAUUCCUUGACACGCACGCGAAUCGGAGGAUGUCCCAGAGCAAUGAUUAAUAAAAGGUAGCUCGCGUAUCGCUUCCAAAACGGUGAAUGCCCCCUUUCAUGAAGGAUGAGGUAGUACAAAUAAUUAAAUCGCUCAAGAACGAUAAAGUUCCAGUGUCGGAUUUAAUAUAGAAAUAUGUAUGCGAAAGAGACUUCACUGCUAUCCCGAGUCACUUCGUAGAAUUGUUUAACGAAUACCUUCGAUGGAGUAUCUAUGUUUCCCUUUAUCUGGGCAAAGAGUUCCUUAAGAGUACUCCUGAAGGGAGAUGAUAAAGACGUGAAAGAUCCAAAAUCAUAUCAUCCGAUAUGUCUACUUCAUCCAUUUUACAUUAUCUAUAGUAAAUAUAAAAAGUAUUCGUACAACAAUGAAUUUUAACAAAAACUUUGUAAAACUUUGUUUAUUACAAAAAAUGUUAUAUAUAUAUAUAUUUUCAGAAAUCUCUAAAACGAAUGUUAUUAAAAAAUAAUUAUUUAUUUAUAUUUGUUAUGAAAAUAUAAACAAAUUUUUUAAAAUUAGCAGAAAAUGUAUGCAUAAUAAGUAUUCGUACAUUUUUAUGUUUACAACAUACAUAAUACAUAAUACAUAAAUGUAAUAAAAAAGCAAUUUAUUUGCAAUUUUAGUAUCUAGUGGGAUUCCCUUUAGAUUGUAUAAGUCUUUAUGGCAUCGAAUUUACUAAAUUUCCUGUUUUAGUAUUAGAAAUUUUAUUCCACUCUUCUAAGAGCGCAUUUUUUAAAAUCUUUUUUCGAAGAAAUGAUCACGAAUUUUUUCUUCGAAAUAACCUAAUAAGUGUUUUAUAACGUUCAAAUCUGAAGGCUAUGGAGGGAUUUUUAAUUGAUUUGGUACAUUAUAUAGGAUCCAUUAUCGUCGAUCAUUAUUUUGUAAAAACUCAUAAUUGUCCUGUAAUUCAAUCUUAUUCGCACUGACUUGGAUGUGUUAAAAUAUUAAUAUACAAUUUAUGAUCCAUGAUACCAUCAUCUUCAUAAAAUGGAGAGAUCCAACCGCAUUUGCAUUUAUGCUGCACUAAACUGUGAUCGAGCCUUCUCCAUGCUUUACGGACGCCUGCAAAUUGUUUUUCCCAUAUUCGCUAUUUUUUUCUCUAUACAGUACAUCGUCCAUCCGAACUAAAUAAGUUAAAUUUACUUUCAUUAGUAAAUAUAACACAAUUCCAGUACUCCAUAGGAACAUUGACAUAUUUUUUCGCAAAUUCUAAUUGUUUUUUUCUAUUAACUUCAUUUACAAAACUUUUUUCACGGGCUACUCUAUAUAUUUUCUAUGGUAUACUGCAGCUCGUAAAAAAUUAUGCACUGUACUAUUGCACACAUUAAUAUUAAGAUUAUUUUUAAGUUUAGCAAUGAUGUUUCCUGUACUUAUCUUCGGAUUUUGUUCUAUUUUUCGAAUUAUCCAUCGACUAGUGUCCUCAUUUAUUUUACAUUUACAUUUGUUUCAUGGAUUAUUUUUUAAAGUUUUUCGGUCCCCAUAUCUGAAUCGUGGACCAUGGUUUAUUUUCAAUUUUAGAAAUUUCAUUCAAUGUUUUGGAUUUAUUAUGUAAACUUAUAAUAAUUUUUCUUUUUUCUUCAGUGAUUUCCUUCCUUGCCUUUUUGUCCCAUUUUAUAAUUAUCACUGUCGACUAUAUGAAUUUAGAACACUAUCUGUAUUGACAACAUAUCUAAAUAUACUGAUCCUAAAUAUAUUGAUAAAAGAUGUAUUAUCUUAUCUUGUAUAAUGUUACCAAUAAAGAACUAUAUGAAUACUUAUUAUACGUAUAU
Molecule: unclassified non-coding RNA, 4503 nt
Organism: Vespa mandarinia (Asian giant hornet)
Lineage: Eukaryota; Metazoa; Arthropoda; Insecta; Hymenoptera; Vespidae
Source: RefSeq, a predicted model, not a curated record